UACGUAGGGAGCAAGCGUUGUCCGGAAUCAUUGGGCGUAAAGCGCGCGUAGGCGGCCCCGUAAGUCCGCUGUGAAAUCCCGGGGCUCAACCCCGGGCCUGCAGUGGAUACGGGCUGGCUAGAGGCAGGCAGGGGAGAACGGAAUUCCUGGUGUAGCGGUGAAAUGCGCAGAUAUCAGGAGGAACACCGGUGGCGAAGGCGGUUCUCUGGGCCUUACCUGACGCUGAGGAGCGAAAGCGUGGGGAGCGAACAGG
Molecule: ribosomal RNA, 253 nt
Filed under: uncultured bacterium
Lineage: Bacteria
Description: partial 16S ribosomal RNA
Rfam family: Bacterial small subunit ribosomal RNA
Source: RNAcentral